Molecule: long non-coding RNA, 1299 nt
Organism: Harpia harpyja (harpy eagle)
Lineage: Eukaryota; Metazoa; Chordata; Aves; Accipitriformes; Accipitridae
Exons: 3
Source: RefSeq, a predicted model, not a curated record
CACGGGUAAGCGACACCCCCACCCCGCCCCACUCCACAGACACGGACCCGCGCGGGUCCGGGGCGCACGUGCGUGCAGGCUUCUCCGUGUUGCUCUCGUAAAGGAUUUCAGGCUCGACACACAGGAGUUGUUUCUCCAUGAGCAGCCGUGGGGCAUUUGACCCAUGGUUUUGGCAGUAGAGACGAACCGAGGACGCGGCUCCCGCAGUCCUGACCUGGAAUUUGAACCUUCUUUGGUGCCUCUCCCUCCUCUCAGAGGGGGCGGAAGAUCUCCGGAUCUUCUGACUGCCAUCGAUCCAAGCUGAUUUGCUGAGCAUUGGCUUUGUAUCACGUCUGCGUGCUCCUAGAUAGAUGAUUUCAAUCUCAAAAAAACCCCGGUUUUUCACCGUCUGCAUGCAAAAUCUCCAGCAGAAAUUCCAUGAUCUGGAGCGAUUUGGUCCGAUGCCAUGAGAACGGGCUGCUCUGCACACCUUAGGAAGUGCAAAAAGGAAAAAGAAAAGAAGACAGAGCCUUCCGUGCUGCGGCCAGAUCGUUCAGUCACAUCAAAGCCGGCUGCCUCCUGUGCCGACAGGAGGACGUGACAGAUGUCCUUAACCUUUACAGGUGCAGGGCCUGCACUUCUUCAGUCUUUUUUCCUUGAAUGACUCGGAGCAUGGAUUAUUAGCAGCUCAGACUUCUUUGGCCAAAGUGCUUUGUUGCCUAUACAUCCAGGUUAAAUCUAAGCAAUAUUUCUGAUCCAUGUAGGCUUCUGACUUGGGUCUGCAUCUUUGGUGUUUACAAAAUGAUCAGCGUGUGAACUCUCCCUGUUCUGUUUCUUAAAUGUCAGCAGAAACUUUUUUUAAAAUAAAACAAUGCAGCCUCCCCUGCAAUGUUUGUAACCAAGAAACUGCGGCACCAGAAGAGCAUGAGAAAAUAUUGCUGAUUAAAACCAGGGUAAGAAAUGACAGCGAAAGUGAUUUUUUUUUUUCUCAUUGCAGAAUUCACAAUGAAGUGGCUGGUAACAUGGGACCAGCUGGUUUACCCCCACUUGUGCUGAAUGCUAGGUUUAAUGCACUGAAACCACUUCCACUGGCAUGUGGGGCUGGUCAUAUGCUUUUGAUACGAAAACUUUAACUUUGGUGUGAUUAUUUAAUUUCUUGUGUUGUAAAACACAUCUCACAGCAUAGCUUUCCCCCCACCUCUCUCUGUUUUGACAAAGCAAAGUAAGUUUGUGCUAUCGUCGGUUUUCCUUGCCUUGUUUUUCUCUUCUUCUUGCGUCUCAUUAAUACACAAGCAGUAUUAAAUAAUAAUGAUGCCAGUA